This 253-nucleotide ribosomal RNA is filed under the name uncultured bacterium. RNAcentral describes it as "partial 16S ribosomal RNA". It matches the Rfam family "Bacterial small subunit ribosomal RNA", at positions 524 to 776 of the family's 1533-position model. The record is from RNAcentral.
GACGAACCGUGCGAAUGUUGUUCGGAAUCACUGGGCUUAAAGGGAGCGUAGGCGGGCUAUCAAGUCUGGGGUGAAAUGCCGCGGCUCAACCGUGGAACUGCCUUAGAUACUGACGGCCUCGAGGGAGAUAGGGGCAUGCGGAACUGUAGGUGGAGCGGUGAAAUGCGUUGAUAUCUACAGGAACUCCGGUGGCGAAAGCGGCGUGCUGGAUCUCUUCUGACGCUGAGGUACGAAAGCUAGGGGAGCGAACGGG